AGCGAACGCUGGCGGCAGGCUUAACACAUGCAAGUCGAACGCCCCGCAAGGGGAGUGGCAGACGGGUGAGUAACACGUGGGAACGUACCCUUUGGUUCGGAAUAACUUGGGGAAACUCAAGCUAAUACCGGAUAAGCCCUUAUGGGGAAAGGUUUACUGCCGAAGGAUCGGCCCGCGUCUGAUUAGCUAGUUGGUGAGGUAAUGGCUCACCAAGGCGACGAUCAGUAGCUGGUCUGAGAGGAUGAUCAGCCACACUGGGACUGGGACACGGCCCAGACUCCUACGGGAGGCAGCAGUGGGGAAUAUUGGACAAUGGGGGCAACCCUGAUCCAGUCAUGCCGCGUGAGUGAUGAAGGCCUUAGGGUUGUAAAGCUCUUUUACCCGGGACGAUAAUGACUGUACCGGGAGAAUAAGCCCCGGCUAACCUCGUGCCAGCCGCCGCCGUAA
Molecule: ribosomal RNA, 447 nt
Filed under: uncultured bacterium
Lineage: Bacteria
Description: partial 16S ribosomal RNA
Rfam family: Bacterial small subunit ribosomal RNA
Source: RNAcentral